GCGACGUGCGCGGCAAAGGGUGCCCGUCCUCGCUUCAGGAGGCCGGGUUAAACGGGAAACAGGUGCGAAUACGUAACCCGAGGCUGGCAACCGCAUAUCUGUGAUGAUGGGUCGGUUCACGUCCUCACUGGUCACGGAUUACCGGUCACGUGUCAUGGCUUCCAGGCCUGUGCUGCCCCCGCAACGGUAAGCGAGCGUGGAUUCGUCAUUACGCCACUGAGCGCCGCGCGCUUGGGAAGGCGACGAGUCAGGUUCUCGCGAGCCCGUAUACCGGCCCGGCCGUGGGUGGAAAU
RNAcentral lists this non-coding RNA (293 nucleotides) under Betaproteobacteria bacterium. Lineage: Bacteria; Pseudomonadati; Pseudomonadota; Betaproteobacteria. The record is from RNAcentral.